Molecule: non-coding RNA, 224 nt
Filed under: Enterococcus sp.
Lineage: Bacteria; Bacillati; Bacillota; Bacilli; Lactobacillales; Enterococcaceae
Description: T-box sequence
Rfam family: T-box leader
About the family: Uncharged tRNA acts as the effector for transcription antitermination of genes in the T-box leader family. T-boxes are found upstream of many aminoacyl-tRNA synthetase genes and some amino acid biosynthetic genes usually in Gram-positive bacteria.
Source: RNAcentral
UAAAUGUCGAAAGAAUAGUAUUAAAUUUUGUUGUUUUAGAGAGUUGACGGUUGGUGAAAGUCAAUACAAUAGGUUUAAGAAUCCACUUUUAAAAGACGUGUAACGAAAACAAUUUUUGAUUAAGUUACACCGGUAAGCAAUGGCCGUUAUUCUGCAUUUAAUGAAGGCACGUUUCUGUGCAAAAAUCUGGGUGGUACCGCGAAAUUCAACCUCUCGCCCCAAAA